GGAGCUCUCCCNUAUGGUCGACCUGCAGGCGGCCGCGAAUUCACUAGUGAUUAGAGUUUGAUCCUGGCUCAGAUUGAACGCUGGCGGCAGGCCUAACACAUGCAAGUCGAACGGUAACAGAAAGCAGCUUGCUGCUUUGCUGACGAGUGGCGGACGGGUGAGUAAUGUCUGGGAAACUGCCUGAUGGAGGGGGAUAACUACUGGAAACGGUAGCUAAUACCGCAUAACGUCGCAAGACCAAAGAGGGGGACCUUCGGGCCUCUUGCCAUCGGAUGUGCCCAGAUGGGAUUAGCUUGUUGGUGGGGUAACGGCUCACCAAGGCGACGAUCCCUAGCUGGUCUGAGAGGAUGACCAGCCACACUGGAACUGAGACACGGUCCAGACUCCUACGGGAGGCAGCAGUGGGGAAUAUUGCACAAUGGGCGCAAGCCUGAUGCAGCCAUGCCGCGUGUAUGAAGAAGGCCUUCGGGUUGUAAAGUACUUUCAGCGGGGAGGAAGGGAGUAAAGUUAAUACCUUUGCUCAUUGACGUUACCCGCAGAAGAAGCACCGGCUAACUCCGUGCCAGCAGCCGCGGUAAUACGGAGGGUGCAAGCGUUAAUCGGAAUUACUGGGCGUAAAGCGCACGCAGGCGGUUUGUUAAGUCAGAUGUGAAAUCCCCGGGCUCAACCUGGGAACUGCAUCUGAUACUGGCAAGCUUGAGUCUCGUAGAGGGGGGUAGAAUUCCAGGUGUANCGGUGAAAUGCGUAGAGAUCUGGANGAAUACCGGUGGCGANNCGGCCCCCUGNNCGAAGACUGACGCUCAGGUGCGAAAGCGUGGGGAGCAAACAGGAUUANAUACCCUGGUAGUCCACGCCGUAAACGAUGUCNACUNNGNNGUUGUGCCCUNNAGGCGUGGCUUCCNGNAGCUAAC
RNAcentral lists this ribosomal RNA (911 nucleotides) under uncultured Enterobacteriaceae bacterium. RNAcentral's name for it is "bacterial SSU rRNA". It matches the Rfam family "Bacterial small subunit ribosomal RNA", at positions 1 to 856 of the family's 1533-position model. The record is from RNAcentral. Lineage: Bacteria; Pseudomonadati; Pseudomonadota; Gammaproteobacteria; Enterobacterales; Enterobacteriaceae.